Molecule: ribosomal RNA, 75 nt
Filed under: Trichoderma aureoviride
Lineage: Eukaryota; Fungi; Ascomycota; Sordariomycetes; Hypocreales; Hypocreaceae
Description: 5.8S ribosomal RNA
Rfam family: 5.8S ribosomal RNA
About the family: 5.8S ribosomal RNA (5.8S rRNA) is a component of the large subunit of the eukaryotic ribosome.
Source: RNAcentral
UCAGUGAAUCAUCGAAUCUUUGAACGCACAUUGCGCCCGCCAGUAUUCUGGCGGGCAUGCCUGUCCGAGCGUCAU